Acipenser ruthenus (sterlet) is the source of this 306-nucleotide long non-coding RNA. RefSeq lists it as uncharacterized. The transcript is spliced from 3 exons. NCBI's taxonomy places the organism in Eukaryota, Metazoa, Chordata, Actinopteri, Acipenseriformes, Acipenseridae. The record is from RefSeq and is a predicted model, not a curated record.
UGGAGCUGAGCGAAUGCUUUCGCUCAGCAUUUAAUAAACAGAACAGAAAAUAAAAGGUUGGAACACAAAACAGGACACGGCACUAUACGCCAAAACAAAAAAAGACAAACAAAACGGACUAUACAGUGCACGGACAGACACACAAACAAACACGGGACAGUAAGUUCUUCUGGCAUCUGAAGCUCAUUUUUCCACAAAGCCACACCGAAUAUGUAGAGAAGAGGGUACCUGAUGACAGAACACUUGAUGAGAUCCUAAACUCCUAUAUCCAUCCAACGGAAUCUGAUCCCACAGUUCGUCAGAAGU